AUGCAGGUUGGCCUUCCUGCGGUACCAGUGCACCAUGAUGGUGUUGCCGCCCUCGUCCUCCUCGUAGCCGACGUGCAGCGGCUGGUGCACGUCGCCCACGAAGUGCGCCAGGAACAUCAGGCUCUCCGUCAGGUUGUCUGCGUUGCGAAUAGUGUAGAGCUGGUCCGUGUAGUUGUUGAUGGCCCCGACGACGCACAUCCCCUGCUCCCCGCGAGAGUUGUGGCAAUCCCCUGA
This 234-nucleotide ribosomal RNA is filed under the name Triticum aestivum (bread wheat). RNAcentral describes it as "partial small subunit ribosomal RNA". Lineage: Eukaryota; Viridiplantae; Streptophyta; Magnoliopsida; Poales; Poaceae. The record is from RNAcentral.